Molecule: RNA transcript, 3512 nt
Organism: Heterocephalus glaber (naked mole-rat)
Lineage: Eukaryota; Metazoa; Chordata; Mammalia; Rodentia; Bathyergidae
Gene: Cyp51a1
Gene name: cytochrome P450 family 51 subfamily A member 1
Source: RefSeq, a predicted model, not a curated record
GAGGCGGGCGAGUGGGGGUUGCCCCUCCUCACCUGCCGCCGGCUUCUCUCUCGCUCCAGCGGUUCUGAGGGGCUGCGGUGACCCGGCUUCCAGUGUGUCCGGCGGGGGAAGCGGCGGCGACGGAAUGGCGCUGCUGGGCUUACUGCAGGCGGGCGGUUCAGUGCUGGGACAGGCAGUGGAGCAAGUGACGGGCGGCAGCCUCCUCUCCACGUUGCUGGUGGCCUGCGCCUUCACUCUCAGCCUGGCCUACCUGUUCCGCCUCGCCGUUGGCCACCUGGUCCCCCUGCCGAUCGGAGCGAAAACUCCACCAUACAUUUUCUCCCCAGUUCCAUUUCUUGGGCAUGCUGUAGCAUUUGGGAAAAAUCCUAUUGAGUUCCUAGAGAAUGCAUAUGAGAAGUAUGGACCCGUAUUUAGUUUUACCAUGGUGGGCAAGACUUUUACUUACCUUCUGGGGAGCGAUGCUGCUGCAUUGCUUUUUAAUAGUAAAAAUGAAGACCUGAAUGCAGAAGAUGUCUACAGUCGUCUGACAACACCUGUGUUUGGGAAGGGAGUCGCGUAUGACGUUCCUAAUGCAAUUUUCUUGGAGCAGAAGAAAAUGUUAAAAACUGGCCUUAACAUAGCCCACUUUAAACAAUACGUUUCUAUAAUUGAAAAAGAAACACAGGAAUACUUUCAAAGUUGGGGAGAAAAUGGAGAAAAAAAUUUGUUUGAAGCUCUUUCUGAGCUCAUAAUUUUAACAGCUAGCCAUUGUUUACAUGGAAAAGAGAUCAGAAGUCAACUCAGUGAGCAGGUGGCACAGCUGUAUGCAGAUCUGGAUGGAGGUUUUAGCCAUGCAGCCUGGCUGCUGCCAGGUUGGCUGCCUCUGCCUAGUUUCAGACGUAGAGACAGAGCUCAUCGAGAGAUCAAGAAUAUUUUUUAUAAGGCAAUUCAGAAGCGUAGGCAAUCAAAAGAAAAAGUUGAUGAUAUUCUUCAAACUUUACUAGAGUCUACAUACAAGGAUGGCCAUCCUCUGACAGAUGAUGAAAUAGCAGGGAUGCUUAUUGGACUGCUUUUGGCAGGGCAGCACACGUCCUCAACCACUAGUGCUUGGUUGGGCUUCUUUGUGGCCAGAGACAAAGCACUACAAGAAAAAUGUUAUUUAGAACAGAAAACAGUCUGUGGUGAGGACCUGCCUCCUUUAACCUAUGACCAGCUCAAGGAUCUAAAUUUACUUGAUCGCUGCAUAAAAGAAACAUUAAGACUUAGACCUCCUAUAAUGACCAUGAUGAGAAUGGCCAAAACUACUCAGACUGUGGCAGGGUAUACCAUUCCUCCAGGACAUCAAGUGUGUGUUUCUCCCACUGUCAAUCAGAGACUUAAAGACUCCUGGGUAGAACGUCUGGACUUUAAUCCUGAUCGUUACUUACAUGAUAACCCAGCGUCAGGAGAGAAGUUUGCCUAUGUGCCAUUUGGAGCUGAAGAUGUACAGGUGUCUAUCUGCUGUUUUUCUGAAAUGUAGAUAAGCAAAUGAUCACUCGCAAGUUAAAAAGAGGUGUGUGUCUGAACUAGUUCAUGGAUGGAUUCAAAUUUGUUUUAAGAAGACAAUUCAUACUGGAUGUGCUACAAUACCUGGGUUUACUCAGUACAACAAAAGAAUCCCUGCUAAAAGGAUGAAGAUCUGGAAAGAAGUAAGCUUAUACCUCUGACUGUACAAACAGCCUUUCAAAGAGUCUACCAGUAAAGUGACUUUACCUGGAAACUGCGAUGGACACUCUGGCAGCUGAACGAAACCUGGUGAAGCCCCGGGGGCGGUUGGUGAUGACUUCUAGAUCAGUGAAGGCUGGCUGUCCCCCAAUGCGGGCAAGCAGUGCCAGGGUCGCAUCUUCACAUUCUUGGAACCCACCCAGUAACAGCAGCAGAAGCAAUGAUGGCAUUAAUGUUGGCUCCACCACCAAAUGAAAACCUAGAAGACUGCAGAGACCACAUCCUACUUACAUGAUUUUUAAAGAACAAAUCUCAUGAAGAAAAACUAGAAUUAAUCAUAUUAAAGGUAUCCCAUGAUGGGUGCCUAGUAUCAGCUUUUUGAUCUCAGGAAAGCUCAGAACCAAUCUAAACUGACAUUAAAGAAUAUUCCUGAAGUCUAAGCAUAUGUUCCUUUGCUGAGGAAAAAGUCCCUGGCAAAAGCAUAGCCAGGGGAGGCUUAGCAGAUUUAGCAGAGUUCUGAACUGAGAAAGUCAAGCAGCUGAACAGCUGGAUCAUCUGGGUCCAAAUGUGGAGCCUGCACUCAAGAAGGGGACAGGAAAUAACUCCUCAUGUAUACAGAUCCUACUAAGAAUCAGAUACUGGGUACUUUUACAUCUCAGAGUCAGAAACUGAAACUGGACAAAAGAAACUGUAACUUGGCACUACUUUAAAAAAUGACGUACGCAAUCUCCAGCAGCUCCUGCCUGUCGGUAGCACCUUAUCCGCUCUUCUAGCUUCAUGACCGUGUUCCUCAAACCACUCUUUUCUUCAGUCAGCUGGCUGAUAUGUCCUGUCAGCUCAGCAUUCUGUCUCAGAAGUCUUUCAGUCAAUGAGCCACAAGAAGCACUUGGGGACACUAAGCUGGGCUGGGAAAAUACAAUGGGACUAGGUCACAUAAUUACAAAUGUCCACAAAUACUGUGUGUGAACGUGUGAAGAGGCACAGAGAGCACCCAUUACAUGACCAGUGCUUGGUUAAAUAAUAGUGAGAAAUGCAUCAGGAAGAAAAGAAGCUAGGGAAGGGCACAGUAAGCAAAAGAGCAUAAAGACAAAGGCUUAUUCAAGAGUGCUGCUUUUAAGGGAGCUACAAGUUACUUGGUAAAACAAGAAUAAAUGUUGCUUCAUUUUGUGGAAAAUGGAUUUAAAUGAAGGCAAUGGAGAGCCAUGAAAGGCUUUGGGCAGGAGCAUUCCACAAAGUUAUGUACUGGAAAGAUUCCUUUCGCAAUAGUGCCCAGAAGAAAGUAAGUUAGGGAAGAGCCAAUAUUCUAGUGUCAGGCAUACCCAUGAGGAGGUAGUUACAACAGUCCUGGUAAGAAGUACUGAAAGCUGAGGCAGUGGCUAGGGACAGAGAGCAGUGGGCAUAGGGAUCAAACAUGCAGAGGUAGAAAGCACAUGACGUAGACUGCUCAGCUAUGUAAGUCCACUACUUUUUUGUUUUGUUUUUGUGGUACCGGGGAUUGAACGCAGGACCUUGUGCUUGGGAGGCAGGUGCAGUGCCACUGAGCUAAGUCCCUGGCCCUACUCAGCUGUGUAAGUAAGGGCAAGGGAAAGUAGACUAUGGCGACUUCCAGUUUUCCAACCGGGAUGACAGCAUUAUCAGAAAGGUAGGAAGGUUAGGGGAUAAUGAUGUUCAAUUUGGAGCAUGCUCCUGGGAUUCCUAAUGGGUCAUUAUGGGGUAUGGGGAAAUGAAAGACACCUAGUAACUAAUUGAAAAUGUAAGCCUGGAGCACAGGUCAAAGGUCUAUACUAGAACCACAGUCCACUAGACAAUAAACUCUAUGAUGUAUAUGA